RNAcentral lists this long non-coding RNA (810 nucleotides) under Chrysemys picta bellii (western painted turtle). RNAcentral describes it as "lncRNA (ENSCPBG00000025121.1)". Lineage: Eukaryota; Metazoa; Chordata; Testudines; Emydidae. The record is from RNAcentral.
GAACACAAAAUAAGUUAUAGUACAUUACAAAAAAUUCCAAGCCUACAGAGGCUGCAUUUAAAAUGUACAAAUACAUGCUCCUGAUAUUUCUUAAUCUUGGGAUACACAGUCAUUUUGUUCCUCUGAAGAUAACAACAUCUCACACGCCACACAAUGUCUCUGCAGUAGUGAAGGAAAUUGUUAGUUUACUUAAUGAGACCCAUGAGAAUACCACGGUAAGUCAAUUUCAGUUUUUUUUUCUGAACAAUUUCUUUUUGUGAUAAUUUUAAACUUGAAACUGACUGAUUUCUUUCAUUUUUAGGAAUUUUUUACUACACCAACAAAUAUCAGGUGUCCAACAUGUUCACAUAAAUACGCAAAUGAAUUUAUUCAUGAACUGCACAAAAUAAAGAAGGACGAUAACGUAUCGAGAAUUGAAGUAGAUAUGAAACACCUGAAAGAGAUUUGCCCAUUUCUAGAAAAAUCCCCAGUCAAUCAUUUGUCCUGCGAGUCAGAAGCAAGAAAUUUUAAUGAUUUUAAAAAUCAUUUAAAGAAUUUUGUGCGUUGGAUCAACGAGCAAAACAUAUGCAACAAAAUGGACAAAGUAGACAAAUGUCUCCAAAAUAUUACUGUGCUGAAGAACUACUGAAAUCAUCACUUUGUAAGAAAAGAAUCACAUUUGUAGUCAGGAUAUUGCCAGGGAAGAGAAGAAAAAAGAAAAAAAAAGUUAUUUCUAAUUGGAGUUCGCACUGAGCAUUAAGCAUGGAAAGGAAAAGAAGAAAACAGACAUUCCAUAUGUAGCAAUCAAAAUGUUAUAGAAGAAAGGAGAUU